Long non-coding RNA from Danio aesculapii, 686 nucleotides. RefSeq lists it as uncharacterized. Lineage: Eukaryota; Metazoa; Chordata; Actinopteri; Cypriniformes; Danionidae. The transcript is spliced from 3 exons. The record is from RefSeq and is a predicted model, not a curated record.
GUCAAGUAGGACGGACGAAGCCAUUUUCCAGAUGGAAAGAGGACAGACUUCCAGUUUAUUAAAACGAUGUUAAAGACUCAUUUAUGCUUUAUGACUAAAUGGACAUGAAGGGAACCUAAAAAUGCAGAAAAACAACAACUGAAGAAAUGAAAGUGAAAUAAACUGAAACAACUAGAAAACAAAAUCACUCAGAUGAGAGGGAAAUCAGAGGCAUUUGUCCUCCCUCAGCCCCCCCCAAACCCCGUCCAGCGUCAUCUGUAAAUCAGACACUGGUACAAGGAUUGGGAGAGACGGAGAUGGACUGUAAGACAGAUAAUUAGCAUAGUAACAUUUAAACUGAAGUCUAGCAAGUUGUCUGGAUGAACACUGACAGAAAAAGUCAGUUAUUAGUAAAAUUAAUAAGCAUAAAAGUUUGCAAACAUUACCGUGGAAAGUCCACACAUUUUCAAAAGUCACAAUGAUGUUCAUCAUUUAGAAAUUACAGACAUACUUAGAGCACAGAAAUUUAAAUUAAAUCUGUAGUUACCACAAAGACCCUCUGAGCAGCAACAUCCUUGUCAUCCAAAAUUGACAAACACUCAAGCAUUUUCUUAACAAUCAUAUUGCUCAUCCGUGCAGCUUAGCCUUCUGUGAAGCUUCAUCUGCUCUCUGAUGUCUUACCUCAGAGUGAUUUCCUCUUUAGCUGA